RNAcentral lists this ribosomal RNA (444 nucleotides) under uncultured bacterium. RNAcentral describes it as "partial 16S ribosomal RNA". It matches the Rfam family "Bacterial small subunit ribosomal RNA", at positions 355 to 790 of the family's 1533-position model. The record is from RNAcentral.
UGGGGAAUAUUGCACAAUGGGCGCAAGCCUGAUGCAGCCAUGCCGCGUGUGUGAAGAAGGCCUUCGGGUUGUAAAGCACUUUCAGCGAGGAGGAAGGGUAGUGUGUUAAUAGCACAUUGCAUUGACGUUACUCGCAGAAGAAGCACCGGCUAACUCCGUGCCAGCAGCCGCGGUAAUACGGAGGGUGCAAGCGUUAAUCGGAAUUACUGGGCGUAAAGCGCACGCAGGCGGUUUGUUAAGUCAGAUGUGAAAUCCCCGCGCUUAACGUGGGAACUGCAUUUGAAACUGGCAAGCUAGAGUCUUGUAGAGGGGGGUAGAAUUCCAGGUGUAGCGGUGAAAUGCGUAGAGAUCUGGAGGAAUACCGGUGGCGAAGGCGGCCCCCUGGANAAAGACUGACGCUCAGGUGCGAAAGCGUGGGGAGCAAACAGGAUUAGAGUACCCAUG